AUGCACGCUGGCGGCGUGCCUCAUCCAUGCAAGUCGCGCGAACGGACGAGAAGCUUGCUUCUCUGAUGUUAGCGGCGGACGGGUGAGUAACACGUGGAUAACCUACCUAUAAGACUGGGAUAACUUCGGGAAACCGGAGCUAAUACCGGAUAAUAUUUUGAACCGCAUGGUUCAAAAGUGAAAGACGGUCUUGCUGUCACCUAUAGAUGGAUCCGCGCUGCAUUAGCUAGUUGGUAAGGUAACGGCUUACCAAGGCAACGAUGCAUAGCCGACCUGAGAGGGUGAUCGGCCACACUGGAACUGAGACACGGUCCAGACUCCUACGGGAGGCAGCAGUAGGGAAUCUUCCGCAAUGGGCGAAAGCCUGACGGAGCAACGCCGCGUGAGUGAUGAAGGUCUUCGGAUCGUAAAACUCUGUUAUUAGGGAAGAACAUAUGUGUAAGUAACUGUGCACAUCUUGACGGUACCUAAUCAGAAAGCCACGGCUAACUACGUG
This 496-nucleotide ribosomal RNA is filed under the name uncultured bacterium. Its description in RNAcentral is "partial 16S ribosomal RNA". It matches the Rfam family "Bacterial small subunit ribosomal RNA", at positions 29 to 507 of the family's 1533-position model. The record is from RNAcentral.